GCUUCACUAGCUCAGUUGGCAGAGCGUCAGUCUCAUAACAUCUGAAGGUCGACAGUUCGAACCUGCCGUGGAGCA
RNAcentral lists this transfer RNA (75 nucleotides) under Debaryomyces hansenii CBS767. Its description in RNAcentral is "tRNA Met (CAT) cove". It matches the Rfam family "tRNA". From Rfam's summary of the family: Transfer RNA (tRNA) molecules are approximately 80 nucleotides in length. Their secondary structure includes four short double-helical elements and three loops (D, anti-codon, and T loops). Further hydrogen bonds mediate the characteristic L-shaped molecular structure. tRNAs have two regions of fundamental functional importance: the anti-codon, which is responsible for specific mRNA codon recognition, and the 3' end, to which the tRNAs corresponding amino acid is attached (by aminoacyl-tRNA synthetases). tRNAs cope with the degeneracy of the genetic code in two manners: having more than one tRNA (with a specific anti-codon) for a particular amino acid; and 'wobble' base-pairing, i.e. permitting non-standard base-pairing at the 3rd anti-codon position. The record is from RNAcentral. Lineage: Eukaryota; Fungi; Ascomycota; Pichiomycetes; Serinales; Debaryomycetaceae.